UGCACACAGGUGCUGCAUGGCUGUCGUCAGCUCGUGUCGUGAGAUGUUGGGUUAAGUCCCGCAACCGAGCGCAACCCUUGCCAUUAGUUGCUACGAAAGGGCCACUCUAAUGGGACUGCCGGUGACAAACCGGAGGAAGGUGGGGAUGACGUCAAGUCCUCAUGGCCCUUAUAGGUGGGGCUACACACGUCAUACAAUGGCCGGUACAGAGGGUAGCCAACCCGCGAGGGGGGAGCCAAUCCCACAAAGCCGGUCGUAGUCCGGAUCGCAGUCUGCAACUCGACUGCGUGAAGUCGGAAUCGCUAGUAAUCGCGGAUCAGCAUGUCGCGGUGAAUACGUUCCCGGGUCUU
This 350-nucleotide ribosomal RNA is filed under the name uncultured Allobrachymonas sp. RNAcentral's name for it is "bacterial SSU rRNA". It matches the Rfam family "Bacterial small subunit ribosomal RNA", at positions 1029 to 1382 of the family's 1533-position model. The record is from RNAcentral. Lineage: Bacteria; Pseudomonadati; Pseudomonadota; Betaproteobacteria; Burkholderiales; Comamonadaceae.